RNAcentral lists this unclassified non-coding RNA (2129 nucleotides) under Exaiptasia diaphana. RNAcentral describes it as "uncharacterized LOC110243868, transcript variant X2". Lineage: Eukaryota; Metazoa; Cnidaria; Anthozoa; Actiniaria; Aiptasiidae. The record is from RNAcentral.
UGCAGGCACUAAUAAAUUUGGAACAAUAAAGUAUUAUUACCUUGGUCUUCCAGACAAGAUUAGAACAUGGUACUCUGAUUCUACCAUGUGCAAAAAAAUGUUGGCUCAUUGGCUUAAUAAAGAUAACUGGAUCAGUGGAGUUGGAGCAAAUUUAGAGUGGAGUGAAGUUUGGGGUGGUACACGAUUUAGUGAGCUUGCAUGGUUUUGGGACCCAGACAAAGAGUGGAUGUUACCAUACAAAUGCAAAUAUUGUCUCAACGUAAUAAGUGUUGAAGAAAUUGUGGGCUUUCCAGAGAGAGAUGGGAUUUACACAAUACAGUGUGAAGAUUGUGGUGAAAAGAGCGAGUACCAACCUCAAUUUGCCAGAGGAGAACCACGCAAUAUUGGACUAAUAGGACAUUGGGACGGUUGGCAGCCAUUUGGUUCCCCAGGCAAGCAUAGUUGUGGGGCAAUUGAAGUUUCAAUAGCAAAUAUGAACAAGCAAGACAGAAGUGCAAUUGAGGAGGUGUAUGUGAUUGGAUUUGUUCCAAAUUACUUGUUACCAAAAAAGCGACCAUGUACCCUUGAUCCAUUUCUACAUCCACUCAUCUCAGACAUUGAAAGCAUUGUUAUAAAUGGUUAUCAUGUUGAUUAUGUUGGAGACUUUCCCGAGAUAAACAUAAGACCUGGAAACGUUGUUCGUGUUUUACUGCUAUUGUGGACAGGAGACUAUGUUGCACAAUGUGAAAUUGGCAAGUUUAUUAAAUGUGGGAUAAAAGCUUGCAGAAGGGAUAAACUCACAGGUAUUUUGUUAAAAAAAGUAAUACUUUUGCUCUUAUAGAACCUUUAAAGUGCUAGUCUUGCCAAAAUAACACGCAUCAAAAACAGGUUUUAUGUAUUCCAUAUCGUUGAAAUAACCGUAAAUGCUAACAAUUAACAAAGUUUGAUCCAUAAAAGCUCUGUUUCCAUUUGAGUUUUAAUGCUAAAAGACAGCAACAAUCCCGUCCGCCAUUAAUAUGAAUAAGCGAUUUUUUGAAUCAGCGGUUGCACNCUAUGACGUCAGAGGCGCACUUCGAGCAGAGACAACNAGAGAAAAUAUAUGGCGAGUGAUCUUGCUGAAUUCAACUCUGACUCUGACUGUUCAUCUUCUUUGACAUCCUUGCAUGGCUGGUUGUCGGAGGGGGAACUAGAAGNCCUAGAACCGAUAGCAACGGAAAAAGAAGUUGAGGACUACGAGAAAAAAGUCGCUCGUGAAGAAGAAGAAGAACGACAACAGAACGAACGCUUUUGUGGCGAGAAAGAUAUCAAAGAAUGGUACAUAUGCGGACAUUGCGAUCUUUUACACGUGGUAAAGCCUGACGAGUGUAGCUGUUGUGUGGAGUACGAGAAAUGUCGCAGUGAAUUGGAAUGCCUGGAUCAACCUCCAACGUGUAUUACCGCUCAUCCAGCUUUUGAAGACAUUUGUCUUAAAAAAUGGGUUCUUGAGGUGGCCGCCGUCGGUUUGAGAACAAGAAACAAAAGGCUUUAUACAAAGAUGCGNCAAGAAGGACGAAGGACAGAUUCAGAGUUUUAUCGUGCAGUUUCUUAUCGUCAAUAUAUGCGUUUUAUGUACGGCUACAUUGGUAACUAUAGACUUGCGCUCCCUUGUUGUGUUUACAACAAAAUACGAGGGAAAUUCCCUGACGAGAAUAAAAAAUACCGUGGGUUUGAGCUUGAACCAGAAGAAGAAGAUGAUGAGGAAGGAGAAAGUGAAGAUGUUUCAGGUGAUGAACAGUCCGGAUAGUAUUUUUUAUUACAUUUUAAAAAAUUCACAUGUAUAAUUAGCAUCUUUCUCUGACACUUGACAAAUGUAUAAUAUUUUUUCCACAAAAAGGCAUUGUAUACAAUAUCAUAAUAAUCAAGACCUAAUAUCAAUCGAUAAAACUGGUAAUCUCUUACUUUGAAAUCAAGUAAACUAGCUAUUUUUUUCUUACAAAUGUAGAGACCAUUAACUUUUUUUGGGUGGUUUUUCAUCGGUUUUUCACAGUUUUUACAGCAUGGAGCCUUUCUCUUCUCUUUGGGCAUUACUGGAGGAUUUAAUAAUUGCUCUAGUUCUUGAUCUGUAGAUGUAUGAAUAUGUUUGAAGACAAUAAAAUCAUGCAUGUAUAUUG